CCUACGGGGGGCUGCAGUGGGGAAUAUUGCACAAUGGGCGCAAGCCUGAUGCAGCCAUGCCGCGUGUGUGAAGAAGGCCUUCGGGUUGUAAAGCACUUUCAGCGGAGAGGAAGGCGGUGAGGUUAAUAACCUCAUCGAUUGACGUUACCCGCAGAAGAAGCACCGGCUAACUCCGUGCCAGCAGCCGCGGUAAUACGGAGGGUGCAAGCGUUAAUCGGAAUUACUGGGCGUAAAGCGCACGCAGGCGGUCUGUCAAGUCGGAUGUGAAAUCCCCGGGCUCAACCUGGGAACUGCAUUCGAAACUGGCAGGCUAGAGUCUUGUAGAGGGGGGUAGAAUUCCAGGUGUAGCGGUGAAAUGCGUAGAGAUCUGGAGGAAUACCGGUGGCGAAGGCGGCCCCCUGGACAAAGACUGACGCUCAGGUGCGAAAGCGUGGGGAGCAAACAGGAUUAGAUACCCUUGUAGUC
This 465-nucleotide ribosomal RNA is filed under the name uncultured Klebsiella sp. Its description in RNAcentral is "bacterial SSU rRNA". It matches the Rfam family "Bacterial small subunit ribosomal RNA", at positions 338 to 795 of the family's 1533-position model. Lineage: Bacteria; Pseudomonadati; Pseudomonadota; Gammaproteobacteria; Enterobacterales; Enterobacteriaceae. The record is from RNAcentral.